ACGACGCUGGCGGCGUGCUUCAUACAUGCAAGUCGAACGAGAAGUUACCGUUCGGGUAAUAGACAGGUGGCGGACGGGUGAGUAAAUGUAGAGAAUCUGCCCUAGAGGUGGGGGACAACAGUUGGAAACGACUGCUAAUACCGCAUAUGCGCGUAGCUGAGAUGCUAUUCGUGAAAACUCCGGUGCUCGUGGAUGAGUCUGCAUCUGAUUAGCUAGUGGGGGUGUAAUGGACCACCAAGGCGACGAUCAGUAGCUGGUUUGAGAGGAUGAUCAGCCACAAUGGGACUGAGACACGGCCCAUACUCCUACGGGAGGCAGCAGUAGGGAAUUUUGCGCAAUGGGGGAAACCCUGACGCCAGCAACGCCGCGUGAUUGAAUAAGCCCUUCGGGGUGUAAAGAUCUGUCAGUGGGGACGAAACUUGACGGUACCCACAGAGGAAGCAUCGGCUAACUCCGUGCCAGCCGCCGC
RNAcentral lists this ribosomal RNA (469 nucleotides) under uncultured bacterium. RNAcentral's name for it is "bacterial SSU rRNA". It matches the Rfam family "Bacterial small subunit ribosomal RNA", at positions 33 to 518 of the family's 1533-position model. The record is from RNAcentral.